Molecule: ribosomal RNA, 220 nt
Filed under: Corynebacterium sp. HMSC074C04
Lineage: Bacteria; Bacillati; Actinomycetota; Actinomycetes; Mycobacteriales; Corynebacteriaceae
Description: partial 16S ribosomal RNA
Rfam family: Bacterial small subunit ribosomal RNA
Source: RNAcentral
GGGUUUUUGAUGGAGGGUUUGAUCCUGGCUCAGGACGAACGCUGGCGGCGUGCUUAACACAUGCAAGUCGAACGGUAAGGCUCCAGCUUGCUGGGGUACACGAGUGGCGAACGGGUGAGUAACACGUGGGUGACCUGCCCUGCACUUCGGGAUAAGCCUGGGAAACUGGGUCUAAUACCGGAUAGGACCAUGGUGUGGAUGCUGUGGUGGAAAGUUUUUU